GAAUAUUGGACAAUGGGUGAGAGCCUGAUCCAGCCAUGCCGCGUGCAGGAUGACGGCCUUCUGGGUUGUAAACUGCUUUUAUCUGGGGAUAAAAAGGCCUUGCGAGGCCAACUGCAGGUACCAGAUGAAUAAGCCACGGCUAACUACGUGCCAGCAGCCGCGGUAAUACGUAGGUGGCAAGCGUUGUCCGGAUUGAUUGGGUUUAAAGGGUGCGUAGGCGGUUUAUUAAGUCAGUGGUGAAAGACGAUAGCUCAACUAUCGAGGUGCCAUUGAUACUGAUGAACUUGAGUGCAGUCGAAGUAGGCGGAAUGGACGGUGUAGCGGUGAAAUGCAUAGAUAUCGUCCAGAACACCGAUAGUGAAGACAGCUUACUAGGCUGUAACUGACGCUGAGGCACGAAAGUGUGGGGAUCAAACAGG
RNAcentral lists this ribosomal RNA (419 nucleotides) under uncultured bacterium. Its description in RNAcentral is "bacterial SSU rRNA". It matches the Rfam family "Bacterial small subunit ribosomal RNA", at positions 359 to 776 of the family's 1533-position model. The record is from RNAcentral.